This 1604-nucleotide long non-coding RNA is filed under the name Triticum aestivum (bread wheat). Its description in RNAcentral is "long non-coding RNA (TAES_LNC012382)". The record is from RNAcentral. Lineage: Eukaryota; Viridiplantae; Streptophyta; Magnoliopsida; Poales; Poaceae.
UUUUCUCUCACGAAACACAUUAGAUGAGAGCUCUUUUCGACACAACAAUAAUAUACAAUGCAUCGAAGUGGCUAUGUUCAAUGUGUAUGAUACCGUCUAAGAUAAAAUGCAGUAAGUGUCCUCGUUCUUAAAAAAACAAAGGCUGAUACAUCAUUAUUCUUUUAAGCAAUAUGUAUGUAUUGAAUCCAUUCAUGUUUCCCGCAAAAAAAAAAAAGAAUCCAUCCAUGUGAUUUAGGCUGGUAAACCGGGUAGUGGACCGCUGUUCUGUGGGCCACCAACGAGUCAAAUCGCGAGCUCCCGCUCAAACCCUCUUCAGCCAGCCAUCGCACGAACGCGCCGCCUCUUCUCCUCGCAGAGUCCGGCCGCCCUCGCCGUCCAGCGAACCCCGCCACCAUCUCCGGCUUCGCGCCCCGCCAUCCACAUCGCGUCAAGGCAAGCCUCCCUGGCCGCCGGACCGGGCAGCGCAAUCUAUCUAUCUAUCUAUCUAUGCCCGGCCUUUGUUCCGGGGCUUUUGACGCUACUCCCUUUCCCCAUUUGCGGCAUCAAUCGUGGGUCUGCGCACACACGCGACAACAAUUCCCCGUCCCCAUCGCUCAUCAUCUUCAUCCCGGUCCCGGGAACAAGUCCACACGGCAUCCUCGGAUUAUUUCUAUAUCUGAGCGCAGGGCUGCGGUUGCCGUUUUAUUAAUUAACAUGCAUCCAUAGGCCUGCCUGCCUGCCUUUGCCGUUGGUUAUUUAAGUUAAGGUGGUGCGAUGAGUCGAGCAAGCUGAAAAAUAAAUGGGGAGCAUUAGUGGUAACACGCAGCCACGAUUGCGUCUCGGCCUUGCAAAUCUGUCCCGAAUUCACGUCCUCGCUGUGGAGCACUUCUCUAUCCUUUCAUGGUGGUGCGUGGAUCCAGCGGGCGCUGGGCUUUUCUAUCCAGGCGCCCCAGCUCACGUACGCAAUUUUGACUUGCUUCGCCGAUCACGUAACGUGUGGCGUAACGUGUUAGGGGUGCCAGCGGAUCGUCGGCGAUAUCUCAGUUACUACUAACCGGAGCAGUCAAGAAAAGGACUAGGUAAAAGAUGGGGUGGGGUGGCUUGCUUGCUUUUCGAUCACUAUUUUCCGGGGAAGCAUCAGCAUGUCAAUUUAAUCUUUGCAAGACAAGGCUGUUUUUAGUUUUAAAAACUGCCGCGCGUUGGACUAGAAUAAUACCCAAGUGGUCGUAGCCAAAGACACCACGGCCGCAAGACCGUCGUAUAGCUGAAAUUAACAAUUCUUCCUCGGGAGCAAAUUCGCGUGUGUGAACGGAGGAAAACGAAAUGCAUGUACACGGGUGUAAUUUAUAUUAUCGUCUGUGUUCCUUGUAUUGCCAUGAUGUUUGAUGAAUAGAUCGAGCAGGGGAAAGGGCAGUGGGCACCUUCACUUGUCCUCUUUCGCUUAUUGAUUUGAAAUGUAAGAAAUACAAAGAAGUCUUCAUCUGUUUUGACAAUGUCUACCAUCAUUCUAUGCAAGGUUAAAAUUGAGGCAACGACGUGUGCUACGGUUGGAGCGAAGCAUUUGGGAAAUAUUCUGCCAAGAGAGCAAUGUUAUACAAGGGCUUUAGUUUGUCUUUGUUAGCUUC